RNAcentral lists this ribosomal RNA (375 nucleotides) under uncultured eukaryote. RNAcentral describes it as "SSU rRNA". It matches the Rfam family "Eukaryotic small subunit ribosomal RNA", at positions 567 to 946 of the family's 1831-position model. The record is from RNAcentral.
CCAGCAGCCGCGGUAAUUCCAGCUCCAAUAGCGUAUAUUAAAGUUGUUGCGGUUAAAAAGCUCGUAGUUGGAUUUCUGCUGAGAACGACCGGUCCGCCCUCUGGGUGUGUAUCUGGCUCUUUCUUGGCAUCUUCUUGGUGAACGUUGCUGCACUUGACUGUGUGGAGCGCUACCCAGGACUUUUACUUUGAGGAAAUUAGAGUGUUUCAAGCAGGCAUACGCCUUGAAUACAUUAGCAUGGAAUAAUAAGAUAGGACCUCGGUUCUAUUUUGUUGGUUUCUAGAGCUGAGGUAAUGAUUAAUAGGGAUAGUUGGGGGCAUUCGUAUUUAACUGUCAGAGGUGAAAUUCUUGGAUUUGUUAAAGACGGACUACUGC